AAUCCAUGGUGAGGGCACCUUCUCAAUAGAUCUUUGUAUAUCUCCCAUGCAUCAUAAAGUUUUUCUAAAUCCAUCUGUAUGAAAGAAAAGAUAUCAUUCCGUAAUU
RNAcentral lists this small nucleolar RNA (106 nucleotides) under Gossypium hirsutum (cotton). RNAcentral's name for it is "Plant small nucleolar RNA R71". It matches the Rfam family "Plant small nucleolar RNA R71". Rfam says of the family: R71 is a member of the C/D box family of snoRNAs containing the C (UGAUGA) and D (CUGA) box motifs. Multiple nearly identical copies of this snoRNA have been identified in Arabidopsis, and it is thought to function as a 2'-O-ribose methylation guide for 18S ribosomal RNA. Lineage: Eukaryota; Viridiplantae; Streptophyta; Magnoliopsida; Malvales; Malvaceae. The record is from Rfam by way of RNAcentral.